AUACGAAGGGUGCAAGCGUUGUUCGGAUUUACUGGGCGUAAAGCGCGCGCAGGCGGAUUAGCAAGUCAGAUGUGAAAUCUCGGGGCUCAACCCCGAAACUGCGUCUGAAACUGUUAAUCUAGAGUUUCGGAGAGGGAUGGGGAAUUUCCUGUGUAGGGGUAAAAUCCGUAGAGAUAGGAAGGAACACCAGAGGCGAAGGCGCCAUCCUGGACGAAUACUGACGCUGAGGCGCGAAAGCGUGGGGAGCAAACAGGAUUAGAUACCCUGGUAGUCCACGCCGUAAACGAUGAGAACUAACUAUUGGAGGUAUUGACUCCUUCAGUGGUAUAGCUAACGCGUUAAGUUCUCCGCCUGGGGAGUACGGUCGCAAGACUAAA
This 377-nucleotide ribosomal RNA is filed under the name uncultured Bacteriovoracaceae bacterium. RNAcentral's name for it is "bacterial SSU rRNA". It matches the Rfam family "Bacterial small subunit ribosomal RNA", at positions 523 to 898 of the family's 1533-position model. The record is from RNAcentral. Lineage: Bacteria; Pseudomonadati; Bdellovibrionota; Bacteriovoracia; Bacteriovoracales; Bacteriovoracaceae.